GACGAAGGGGCCAAGCGUUGUUCGGAAUUAUUGGGCUUAAAGAGCACGUAGGCGGACAGUUAAGUGUUUUGUGAAAUCCCUCGGCUCAACCGAGGAACUGCAUAGCAUACUGGCUGUCUUGAGACAAGUAGGGGUGCGUAGAACUCUAGGUGGAGCGGUGAAAUGCGUAGAUAUCUAGAGGAAUGCCCGUGGUGAAAACGGCGCACUGGGCUUGUUCUGACGCUGAGGUGCGAAAGCGUGGGUAGCGAACGGG
This 253-nucleotide ribosomal RNA is filed under the name uncultured bacterium. Its description in RNAcentral is "partial 16S ribosomal RNA". It matches the Rfam family "Bacterial small subunit ribosomal RNA", at positions 524 to 776 of the family's 1533-position model. The record is from RNAcentral.